RNAcentral lists this ribosomal RNA (253 nucleotides) under uncultured bacterium. RNAcentral describes it as "partial 16S ribosomal RNA". It matches the Rfam family "Bacterial small subunit ribosomal RNA", at positions 524 to 776 of the family's 1533-position model. The record is from RNAcentral.
UACGAGGGGAGCAAGCGUUGUUCGGAUUUACUGGGCGUAAAGGGCGCGUAGGCGGCUCAACAAGUCACUUGUGAAAUCUCCGGGCUUAACUCGGAACGGUCAAGUGAUACUGUCGAGCUAGAGUACAGAAGGGGCAACUGGAAUUCUCGGUGUAGCGGUGAAAUGCGUAGAUAUGCGGAGGAACACCGAUGGCGAAGGCAAUCCCCUGGGCCUGCACUGACGCUCAUGCACGAAAGCGUGGGGAGCAAACAGG